This 1150-nucleotide long non-coding RNA is filed under the name Selaginella moellendorffii. RNAcentral's name for it is "long non-coding RNA (SMOE_LNC000826)". Lineage: Eukaryota; Viridiplantae; Streptophyta; Lycopodiopsida; Selaginellales; Selaginellaceae. The record is from RNAcentral.
GCCAAAGACUUUUGGACGAUAUCGGCCUUGCUGCUGACUGAAGGAACGCGGGUUUUCAGUCGAAGUAGCGAGUUGGAAUGGCAGCAGGCAAAUUACAGCUUGGGAACUCUCGGCUUCAGCUCGUUCGUGUUCGACAAGAGCGCCAGAUUAAGGCAGACGUUCUCUGCAGCCUUCGACCAUGACCACCCUGAACAGAACGUUAGCAGAGAUCGACUUUCCAAAAAUCCAGUAAAGAAAGAUUUAUACCAGGGAUUCGGUGCCCGAAGAACUUGGUCCGUGGGAAGCGUCCCGUUCCUGCCGUAUGUAAAGUCCCUCCCCACCAGGAUCAUCAGCCUUUUCAUGUACUUCCUCCAGCUUGCUUCUGCAACAGUCACCGUAUGUUUCUCAGUAUAUCGACUUGCCGAGCACGGCUUCAAUGCCCAAGGAAAAAACACUGAGCAAGCACUUACGGUGUUUUACGCGAUGAUGCUGGCAGAAACGUCGCUAUUCCUCCUGGAGAGAGCAUAUUGGGAAUUCAAGCUUCAUUACCAGAGGUUGCUGGAAGUAGCACUCUAACGUGUGAGCUUGAUCAAGUCGACAUUGAAACCAUGAAGCAGUACUGGUACACAUUGUACUCACGAUCGCUGAACGGAAGCGUGUUUGAUGGCCUGGGAAUGGACCUUAUCGAUUUCACCGUCGAGAAGCUGCAGUCAAGCAUAAGGGAAGAGCAGCUCGGUAGCGUCAACAUACUGUCAGCUCUUGUCUCAAAAGGAGAUUCAAUAAAAGAAACGCGACGGAGGAUGGAGUUGUGGAGAGACUCUUAGAGAUGAUCACCUGGAAGGAUCGUAGUGAGGCCGAAAUCAGGAAAGCUGCAACGAUAGUAAUCAGGCACCUGGUUCAUCACCGCCGUAACUGCUUCAGGAUUUCCGCUAUCCCUGGAUCCCUGGAGGCCCUCACUGCUCUUUUAGCCGCAAGAAAAGAAGAGGAAGUGCUAGAAGAAAAGAGCUACAGACUCACUAUCCUCAACGGGCUAGCCGUGGACCACAGGAUAUCCGUGCGAAUCGGUAACACCAGCGGACUUAUCUCCAUCCUGGUUGAAUUUAUCCAAGACGAACGAAGGAAAGAAGUAUGCCGUCAAUCACUCAAGCUUUUGAAGAAAUUGGCUCGCGUG